GCCCUCUUAGCUCAGUGGCUAGAGCGUCUGCCUAGUAUUACUAACCCUGGAAGCGGGGUUGCUAGGAAGCAGAAGGUCACUAGUUCAAUUCUGGUAGAGGGCA
Tilletiaria anomala is the source of this 103-nucleotide transfer RNA. It matches the Rfam family "tRNA". From Rfam's summary of the family: Transfer RNA (tRNA) molecules are approximately 80 nucleotides in length. Their secondary structure includes four short double-helical elements and three loops (D, anti-codon, and T loops). Lineage: Eukaryota; Fungi; Basidiomycota; Exobasidiomycetes; Georgefischeriales; Tilletiariaceae. The record is from Rfam.